Molecule: ribosomal RNA, 478 nt
Filed under: uncultured bacterium
Lineage: Bacteria
Description: partial 16S ribosomal RNA
Rfam family: Bacterial small subunit ribosomal RNA
Source: RNAcentral
GACGAACGCUGGCGGCGUGCUUAACACAUGCAAGUCGAGCGAUGAAGUUCCUUCGGGAACGGAUUAGCGGCGGACGGGUGAGUAACACGUGGGUAACCUGUCUCAUAGAGGGGAAUAGCCUUUCGAAAGGAAGAUUAAUACCGCAUAAGAUUGUAGCUUCGCAUGGAGUAGCAAUUAAAGGAGUAAUCCGCUAUGAGAUGGACCCGCGUCGCAUUAGCUAGUUGGUGAGGUAACGGCUCACCAAGGCGACGAUGCGUAGCCGACCUGAGAGGGUAAUCGGCCGCAUUGGGACUGGGACCCGGCCCAGACUCCUACGGGAGGCAGCAGUGGGGAAUAUUGCACAAUGGGGGAAACCCUGAUGCAGCAACGCCGCGUGAGUGAUGACGGUCUUCGGACUGUAAAACUCUGUCUUCAGGGACGAUAAUGACGGUACCUGAGGAGGAAGCCACGGCUAACUACGUGCCAGCCGCCGCGGUAA